Molecule: ribosomal RNA, 253 nt
Filed under: uncultured bacterium
Lineage: Bacteria
Description: partial 16S ribosomal RNA
Rfam family: Bacterial small subunit ribosomal RNA
Source: RNAcentral
UACGGAGGAUGCAAGCGUUAUCCGGAAUGAUUGGGCGUAAAGCGUCCGCAGGUGGUUGUGUGAGUCUAUUGUCAAAGCAUCAUGCUUAACAUGAUAAUGGCAGUAGAAACUACACUGCUAGAGUGCGUUCGGGGCAGAGGGAAUUCCUGGUGUAGCGGUGAAAUGCGUAGAGAUCAGGAAGAACACCAGUGGCGAAAGCGCUCUGCUAGUCCGCAACUGACACUGAAGGAAGAAAGCUAGGGGAGCGAAUGGG